RNAcentral lists this ribosomal RNA (496 nucleotides) under uncultured bacterium. RNAcentral describes it as "partial 16S ribosomal RNA". It matches the Rfam family "Bacterial small subunit ribosomal RNA", at positions 29 to 507 of the family's 1533-position model. The record is from RNAcentral.
AUGAACGCUGGCGGCGUGCCUAAUACAUGCAAGUCGAGCGAACAGACGAGGAGCUUGCUCCUCUGACGUUAGCGGCGGACGGGUGAGUAACACGUGGAUAACCUACCUAUAAGACUGGGAUAACUUCGGGAAACCGGAGCUAAUACCGGAUAGUAUAUUGAACCGCAUGGUUCAAUAGUGAAAGACGGUUUUGCUGUCACUUAUAGAUGGAUCCGCGCCGCAUUAGCUAGUUGGUAAGGUAACGGCUUACCAAGGCGACGAUGCGUAGCCGACCUGAGAGGGUGAUCGGCCACACUGGAACUGAGACACGGUCCAGACUCCUACGGGAGGCAGCAGUAGGGAAUCUUCCGCAAUGGGCGAAAGCCUGACGGAGCAACGCCGCGUGAGUGAUGAAGGUCUUCGGAUCGUAAAACUCUGUUAUUAGGGAAGAACAAAUGUGUAAGUAACUAUGCACGUCUUGACGGUACCUAAUCAGAAAGCCACGGCUAACUACGUG